RNAcentral lists this ribosomal RNA (495 nucleotides) under uncultured bacterium. RNAcentral's name for it is "bacterial SSU rRNA". It matches the Rfam family "Bacterial small subunit ribosomal RNA", at positions 24 to 518 of the family's 1533-position model. The record is from RNAcentral.
UCAGGAUGAACGCUGGCGGCGUGCCUAAUACAUGCAAGUCGAGCGAGAACCUUAUGAUCGAAGAUCGUCUGAUUGAUAAGGGGAAAGCGGCGGACGGGUGAGUAACGCGUAGGCAACCUGCCCUUAGCAGAGGGAUAGCCAUUGGAAACGAUGAUUAAAACCUCAUAAUGCUGUUUUGACACAUGUUGAAACAGCCAAAGAUUUAUCGGCUAAGGAUGGGCCUGCGUCUGAUUAACUGGUUGGUGAGGUAACGGCUCACCAAGGUAACGAUCAGUAGCCGACCUGAGAGGGUGAUCGGCCACAUUGGAACUGAGACACGGUCCAAACUUCUACGGAAGGCAGCAGUAAGGAAUCUUGCACAAUGGGGGAAACCCUGAAUGCAGCAACGCCGCGUGAACGAUGAAGGCCUUCGGGUUGUAAAGUUCUGAUCUGUGGGAAGAAGAAAGUGACGGUACCACAGGAGAAAGCCCCGGCUAAAUACGUGCCAGCCGCCGC